CUUUCUUCCUUUCUUUCUCGGAUUAUGAUGCAUGUGUUUUUUAGUCAGAUUUGUUUUCCUCUUUUUGUUUUUCAGUUUGCAGUAGAGAAAUGACACUUUUUCUUUUCUGUUUCUGUGACAACCCGGUCAUCUUUCCUCCUCUGUAGGUUUAUUAUUCUCUCUAUCCCUCCCUCCCUUGAUUUGGUGAUCAGGCAUUGGUUUGAUGAUCAGGUCUUGGUUUGAUGAUCAGGUCUUGGUUUGAUGAUCAGGUCUUGGUUUGGUGAUCAGGUCUUGGUUUGAUGAUCAGGUCUUGGUUUGGUGAUCAGGUCUUGGUUUGAUGAUCAGGUCUUGGUUUGGUGAUCAGGUCUUGGUUUGGUGAUCAGGUCUUGGUUUGAUGAUCA
Molecule: long non-coding RNA, 380 nt
Organism: Ictalurus punctatus (channel catfish)
Lineage: Eukaryota; Metazoa; Chordata; Actinopteri; Siluriformes; Ictaluridae
Source: Ensembl